RNAcentral lists this ribosomal RNA (227 nucleotides) under uncultured bacterium. RNAcentral's name for it is "partial 16S ribosomal RNA". It matches the Rfam family "Bacterial small subunit ribosomal RNA", at positions 585 to 810 of the family's 1533-position model. The record is from RNAcentral.
AAGUCGGUUGUGAAAGCCUUCCGCUCAACGGAAGAACGGCAUCCGAUACUGCAUGGCUUGAGUGUGGGAGGGGAGAGUGGAACUUCUGGUGGAGCGGUGAAAUGCGUAGAUAUCAGAAGGAACACCGGCGGCGAAGGCGACUCUCUGGUCCAUAACUGACGCUGAGUGUGCGAAAGCUAGGGGGGCAAACGGGAUUAGAUACCCCGGUAGUCCUAGCCGUAAACGAU